GAUGAACGCUGGCGGCGUGCCUAAUACAUGCAAGUCGAGCGAACGGACGAGAAGCUUGCUUCUCUGAUGUUAGCGGCGGACGGGUGAGUAACACGUGGAUAACCUACCUAUAAGACUGGGAUAACUUCGGGAAACCGGAGCUAAUACCGGAUGAUAUUUUGAACCGCAUGGUUCAAAAGUGAAAGACGGUCUUGCUGUCACUUAUAGAUGGAUCCGCGCUGCAUUAGCUAGUUGGUAAGGUAACGGCUUACCAAGGCAACGAUGCAUAGCCGACCUGAGAGGGUGAUCGGCCACACUGGAACUGGGACACGGUCCAGACUCCUACGGGAGGCAGCAGUAGGGACUCUUCCGAGAUGGGCGAAAGCCUGACGGAGCAACGCCGCGUGGGUGAUGAAGGUCUUCGGAUCGUAAAACUCUGUUAUUAGUGAAGAACAUAUGUGUAAGUAACUGUGCACAUCGUGACGGUACCUAAUCAGAAAGCCACGGCUAACUACGUG
RNAcentral lists this ribosomal RNA (497 nucleotides) under uncultured bacterium. Its description in RNAcentral is "partial 16S ribosomal RNA". It matches the Rfam family "Bacterial small subunit ribosomal RNA", at positions 28 to 507 of the family's 1533-position model. The record is from RNAcentral.